This 511-nucleotide ribosomal RNA is filed under the name bacterium enrichment culture clone ALO1_GLFRUDD03G2Q21. RNAcentral's name for it is "bacterial SSU rRNA". It matches the Rfam family "Bacterial small subunit ribosomal RNA", at positions 9 to 515 of the family's 1533-position model. The record is from RNAcentral.
GAGUUUGAUCAUAGCUCAGAUUGAACGCUGGCGGCAGGCCUAACACAUGCAAGUCGAGCGGAUGACGGGAGCUUGCUCCUUGAUUCAGCGGCGGACGGGUGAGUAAUGCCUAGGAAUCUGCCUGGUAGUGGGGGACAACGUUUCGAAAGGAACGCUAAUACCGCAUACGUCCUACGGGAGAAAGCAGGGGACCUUCGGGCCUUGCGCUAUCAGAUGAGCCUAGGCCGGAUUAGCUAGUUGGUGGGGUAAUGGCUCACCAAGGCGACGAUCCGUAACUGGUCUGAGAGGAUGAUCAGUCACACUGGAACUGAGACACGGUCCAGACUCCUACGGGAGGCAGCAGUGGGGAAUAUUGGACAAUGGGCGAAAGCCUGAUCCAGCCAUGCCGCGUGUGUGAAGAAGGUCUUCGGAUUGUAAAGCACUUUAAGUUGGGAGGAAGGGCAGUAAGUUAAUACCUUGCUGUUUUGACGUUACCGACAGAAUAAGCACCGGCUAACUCUGUGCCAGCACG